RNAcentral lists this ribosomal RNA (831 nucleotides) under Stenopelmatus nieti. Its description in RNAcentral is "SSU rRNA". It matches the Rfam family "Eukaryotic small subunit ribosomal RNA", at positions 482 to 1232 of the family's 1831-position model. Lineage: Eukaryota; Metazoa; Arthropoda; Insecta; Orthoptera; Stenopelmatidae. The record is from RNAcentral.
GAUACGGGACUCAUCCGAGGCCCCGUAAUCGGAAUGAGCACACUUUAAAUCCUUUAACGAGUAUCCAUUGGAGGGCAAGUCUGGUGCCAGCAGCCGCGGUAAUUCCAGCUCCAAUAGCGUAUAUUAAAGUUGUUGCGGUUAAAAAGCUCGUAGUUGGACUUGUGUCCCACGCUGUCGGUUCACCGCCCGUCGGUGUCUAACUGGCAUGGUUCGUGGGACGUCCUGCCGGUGGUGGCGAGUCGAAGGAGCGCGCCCGUCGUGGUUCACGCCGCGAUCGAGGUUGCGGUCCGGAGACGGACCCCGAUGAAAUCCUACCGCGGUGCUCUUCACCGAGUGUCGAGGUGGGCCGGCACGUUUACUUUGAACAAAUUAGAGUGCUUAAAGCAGGCCUGUUGCGCCUGAAUACUGUGUGCAUGGAAUAAUGGAAUAGGACCUCGGUUCUAUUUUGUUGGUUUUCGGAACCCGAGGUAAUGAUUAAUAGGGACAGUCGGGGGCAUUCGUAUUGCGACGUUAGAGGUGAAAUUCUUGGAUCGUCGCAAGACGGACCGAAGCGAAAGCAUUUGCCAAGUAUGUUUUCAUUAAUCAAGAACGAAAGUUAGAGGUUCGAAGGCGAUCAGAUACCGCCCUAGUUCUAACCAUAAACGAUGCCAGCUAGCGAUCCGCCGAAGUUCCUCCGAUGACUCGGCGGGCAGCUCCCGGGAAACCAAAGCUUUUGGGUUCCGGGGGAAGUAUGGUUGCAAAGCUGAAACUUAAAGGAAUUGACGGAAGGGCACCACCAGGAGUGGAGCCUGCGGCUUAAUUUGACUCAACACGGACUCAGCAGCAGUCUUC